RNAcentral lists this ribosomal RNA (196 nucleotides) under Lactobacillus helveticus. Its description in RNAcentral is "partial 16S ribosomal RNA". It matches the Rfam family "Bacterial small subunit ribosomal RNA", at positions 337 to 525 of the family's 1533-position model. RNAcentral also lists the same sequence under 1 other name. The record is from RNAcentral. Lineage: Bacteria; Bacillati; Bacillota; Bacilli; Lactobacillales; Lactobacillaceae.
UCCUACGGGAGGCAGCAGUAGGGAAUCUUCCACAAUGGACGCAAGUCUGAUGGAGCAACGCCGCGUGAGUGAAGAAGGUUUUCGGAUCGUAAAGCUCUGUUGUUGGUGAAGAAGGAUAGAGGUAGUAACUGGCCUUUAUUUGACGGUAAUCAACCAGAAAGUCACGGCUAACUACGUGCCAGCAGCCGCGGUAAUA